This 605-nucleotide ribosomal RNA is filed under the name Paraburkholderia sp. Its description in RNAcentral is "bacterial SSU rRNA". It matches the Rfam family "Bacterial small subunit ribosomal RNA", at positions 400 to 997 of the family's 1533-position model. Lineage: Bacteria; Pseudomonadati; Pseudomonadota; Betaproteobacteria; Burkholderiales; Burkholderiaceae. The record is from RNAcentral.
CGUGUGUGAAGAAGGCCUUCGGGUUGUAAAGCACUUUUUGUCCGGGAAGAAAUCCCUGGUCCUAAUAUGGCCGGGGGAUGACGGUACUGGAAGAAUAAGCACCGGCUAACUACGUGCCAGCAGCCGCGGUAAUACGUAGGGUGCGAGCGUUAAUCGGAAUUACUGGGCGUAAAGCGUGCGCAGGCGGUGAUGUAAGACCGAUGUGAAAUCCCCGGGCUUAACCUGGGAACUGCAUUGGUGACUGCAUCGCUCGAGUAUGGCAGAGGGGGGUAGAAUUCCACGUGUAGCAGUGAAAUGCGUAGAGAUGUGGAGGAAUACCGAUGGCGAAGGCAGCCCCCUGGGUCAAUACUGACGCUCAUGCACGAAAGCGUGGGGAGCAAACAGGAUUAGAUACCCUGGUAGUCCACGCCCUAAACGAUGUCAACUGGUUGUCGGGCCUUCAUUGGCUUGGUAACGUAGCUAACGCGUGAAGUUGACCGCCUGGGGAGUACGGUCGCAAGAUUAAAACUCAAAGGAAUUGACGGGGACCCGCACAAGCGGUGGAUGAUGUGGAUUAAUUCGAUGCAACGCGAAAAACCUUACCUACCCUUGACAUGUAUGGAAUC